AUGAACGCUGGCGGCGUGCCUAAUACAUGCAAGUCGAACGCACUUCGGUUUUUGAUUGAUGGUGCUUGCACCAGAUUGACGAGACAUUGAAGUGAGUGGCGAACGGGUGAGUAACACGUGGGUAACCUGCCCUAAAGUGGGGGAUAACAUUUGAAAACAGAUGCUAAUACCGCAUAACAACGAAAACCACAUGGUUUUCGCUUGAAAGAUGGUUUCGGCUAUCACUUUAGGAUGGACCCGCGGUGCAUUAGCUAGUUGGUGAGAUAAUAGCCCACCAAGGCGAUGAUACGUAGCCGACCCUGAGAGGGUAAUCGGCCACAUUGGGACUGAGACACGGCCCAGACUCCUACGGGAGC
RNAcentral lists this ribosomal RNA (356 nucleotides) under uncultured Lactobacillus sp. RNAcentral's name for it is "bacterial SSU rRNA". It matches the Rfam family "Bacterial small subunit ribosomal RNA", at positions 29 to 348 of the family's 1533-position model. Lineage: Bacteria; Bacillati; Bacillota; Bacilli; Lactobacillales; Lactobacillaceae. The record is from RNAcentral.